GUUAGCACGGCCGCCGGAAUCUUUAGUCCUGUUUCUCGGAGUGUAAUCGAAACACACAUUUUUACGUGCGCAAAUCGCCGUGAUUGAAACAAUUUAUAGUUUUUAUUUGUUGGCACGAAUUGCCAAGUAUUUAUAUUGUUUUAUGUUGGCGCUAAUCUCCACGUAAAUUAUAUCAUAUUUUUUAGUCUGUGCACUGUGCGCUUUACGUAUAUUACCUAUUAUUGUUUUAUUAGCCGCGUGCGCUGAUCGUCGCGGGCGUAUUAUUGUAUUAUUGCGUUCGCCGCCUUUAUUAUUGUUCCGACAUAGUGUGUGUCCCGUAUUAUUAUUAUUGUUUUAUUUUUCUAUUUUGUGUGUGUGUGUGAACCCUUUUUUUAUUAUAUAGCUAGGACCAGCUGGCCAGACUGCGCUCCACAAAUUAUACUUAUGGCGAGAGAAAAACUACAGCGUCCAUGGUCACAACACCGUUUGGGGAAGGAUUGGAGAUGGUCGUUAACGUCAAUCAAAUACAUUUCGAUAUUUUGUUUUCAACAAAUUUCAAACAAAUUUUUUUAGUACAAAUAUGUACCAAGAUAUAUAGUUUAAGUGUCACUAAAACAAAAAUAAAUACAUUUAGUUUGAACUUAUAGUUCGUAUAAUUAUUACAACAUACCAUUUUGUAGGUAUAAUGCGAUGACAUGAGCAAAGCGAGAUGAGUGGACAGCAGGACAACAUUUGGUUCCUGUAUCCUGCGACCCACAGUUUUUUAUACAGUACUUACAUUGACCAAAGAUUAUAAAACAUACAUCUUUGAUUUAUACAAUUAUACGUGAAGAUACCUUCUCAAGUGAAAAAGCUAAAAGUUGUUCUUUUGACGAACAACUAUUCAACCACAAAUUGCAGGAAUUCAACGAGGAAAAAUCCCGGAAAUAAAGUGAUGCAUCAUGGGAAAUUGCGAUUAUUAAUUAGGUCUCACUAAAUAAUUAUUUAUUUAACUGAGUAAAACAAUGUAUUAUUAAGACCUAUAGUUUUCUAAUUAUAAUAUAAUAAUAUAAAAGUGUUGUUUGGAGGAAAUGUUUAACGUUCUCUGUAUUUA
Molecule: long non-coding RNA, 1072 nt
Organism: Acyrthosiphon pisum (pea aphid)
Lineage: Eukaryota; Metazoa; Arthropoda; Insecta; Hemiptera; Aphididae
Exons: 3
Source: RefSeq, a predicted model, not a curated record